CGACCAAGAUUUCCACUGGACCAUGAAGAGGGGCCAAGAGGAGGUAUGUUUCGCAUUGGCGCGACCUGCUUACCAACAAGCUCAACGCCCAAGGCGCAUUAGGCCAAGAUUCGUUGGGAAUAACUUAAUGUGAUUUUCUAUCAAGAUACACGUUCUGUAAGUUGACAAGUUGUUGUUUCCAAGCAAGAAGAUAAAUGGAUUUGUGAAAACUAUAAGCAGGCCUUCACAUUGCGCUUGCCACUACCUUUAUUAGACCUUAUUAUGCCAGUUGUCCUGUUACUUGCUUCGCUACUCACCACCGUUUCAUGGGAUCUGUCUGUUGGAAGAGAGAAGAAGCACGAAGAAUUUUUCAAGUUGUGUAAAGGCCAAAGGCUAUGGGACGAUUUAAUUGUGAAUAAGUUGCAACCCGCUGUACAUAAGCUCGGUUCAUUUGUUUUUAGUGGCUUUUAAAAUAAUAGCAGACAUGUGCAACAAAAAUGGUGGUAUUGUAUUUAAUAUGAUGGAAUACAAAUCGUCACAUGAUA
Non-coding RNA from Styela clava, 524 nucleotides. NCBI's taxonomy places the organism in Eukaryota, Metazoa, Chordata, Ascidiacea, Stolidobranchia, Styelidae. The record is from RefSeq and is a predicted model, not a curated record.